Molecule: long non-coding RNA, 434 nt
Filed under: Setaria viridis
Lineage: Eukaryota; Viridiplantae; Streptophyta; Magnoliopsida; Poales; Poaceae
Description: long non-coding RNA (SVIR_LNC001820)
Source: RNAcentral
UAGGUUCUGCAUCUCCUUACAUACAUUUUGUGCUCCCAUGUGAAUCUUGAUGUUUGUUUUUAAGUGGUAGUUUUGCAUUUGAGGGGGAGCAUGCAUUCUUUUGCUCUUAUGCAUGCAUUUCAUUGUGGCAUGUUUUUAGGGGGAAUGCAUGUGUUUAGGGGGAGCCUGUGAGCUUUAUGUGCUCUUUUGCUAUGUUGCUUGUGUUUAGUGGCAUCUUCUGAGCUUUGUGCUAGUUUUGUGCUCUCUUUUACUCUUCUGUCGGUUGUGUUUAGCUUUUACCUCUUCUUGAGGAACCGGCAUUUGAUUUGAGCUUUCGAUCGUCACAUGAUUGGUGUUGAGCCCUUUCUGCCUCUUCUUGAGGAAUCAUGUGUUCUUUGUCUCGGUUGUGUCAAGCCGUUGCCCAUGUCUUUGGGGACCAAGACUUUUCCAAGUUG